This 498-nucleotide ribosomal RNA is filed under the name uncultured bacterium. RNAcentral describes it as "partial 16S ribosomal RNA". It matches the Rfam family "Bacterial small subunit ribosomal RNA", at positions 28 to 507 of the family's 1533-position model. The record is from RNAcentral.
GACGAACGCUGGCGGCGUGCCUAAUACAUGCAAGUCGAACGAGAGCGCCCGGUGCUUGCACUGGUCAAUCUAGUGGCGAACGGGUGAGUAACACGUGGGUAACCUGCCCAUCAGAGGGGGAUAACAUCCGGAAACGGAUGCUAAAACCGCAUAGGUCUUCGAACCGCAUGGUUUGAAGAGGAAAAGAGGCGCAAGCUUCUGCUGAUGGAUGGACCCGCGGUGCAUUAGCUAGUUGGUGAGGUAACGGCUCACCAAGGCCGUGAUGCAUAGCCGACCUGAGAGGGUGGUCGGCCACAUUGGGACUGAGACACGGCCCAAACUCCUACGGGAGGCAGCAGUAGGGAAUCUUCCGCAAUGGACGCAAGUCUGACGGAGCAACGCCGCGUGAGUGAAGAAGGUUUUCGGAUCGUAAAACUCUGUUGUUAGAGAAGAACAAGUGCUAGAGUAACUGUUAGCGCCUUGACGGUAUCUAACCAGAAAGCCACGGCUAACUACGUG